This 507-nucleotide ribosomal RNA is filed under the name uncultured bacterium. Its description in RNAcentral is "bacterial SSU rRNA". It matches the Rfam family "Bacterial small subunit ribosomal RNA", at positions 18 to 518 of the family's 1533-position model. The record is from RNAcentral.
UAUGGCUCAGGAUGAACGCUAGCGGCAGGCUUAACACAUGCAAGUCGAGGGGCAGCGGGAUGUAGCAAUACAUUGCCGGCGACCGGCGGAUGGGUGCGUAACGCGUAUGCAACCUACCUUAUACAGGGGAAUAACCUUUCGAAAGGGAGACUAACACCCCAUAGUAUUGAUUUAAGGCAUCUUAGAUUAAUUAAAUAUUUAUAGGUAUAAGAUGGGCAUGCGUAUGAUUAGCUAGUUGGUAAGGUAACGGCUUACCAAGGCGACGAUCAUUAGGGGUUCUGAGAGGAAGGUCCCCCACACUGGUACUGAGACACGGACCAGACUCCUACGGGAGGCAGCAGUGAGGAAUAUUGGUCAAUGGGCGCAAGCCUGAACCAGCCAUGCCGCGUGCAGGAAGACGGCCUUAUGGGUUGUAAACUGCUUUUACAUAAGACUAACCGUAUAUUUGCGAAUAUACCUGAAUGUAUUAUGAGAAUAAGGAUCGGCUAACUCCGUGCCAGCCGCCGC